UCUCCGUAGGUGAACCUGCGGAGGGAUCAUUACUGAGUGAGGGCCCUCGCGGCCCGACCUCCAACCCCAUGUUUUCCGACUCUGUUGCCUCGGGGGCGACCCGGCCCUGUUGGGUGUCGGGGCCCCCGGUGGUCCACAACUCAACUCUUGCAUCUCGGCGUCCGAGUCAAUAUUUGAAUCAAUCAAAACUUUCAACAACGGAUCUCUUGGUUCUGGCAUCGAUGAAGAACGCAGC
RNAcentral lists this unclassified non-coding RNA (235 nucleotides) under uncultured fungus. RNAcentral's name for it is "sequence contains ITS1, 5.8S rRNA gene". The stretch from base 187 to 235 matches the Rfam family "5.8S ribosomal RNA", at positions 1 to 49 of the family's 154-position model. The record is from RNAcentral. Lineage: Eukaryota; Fungi.